RNAcentral lists this ribosomal RNA (1886 nucleotides) under Providencia rettgeri. RNAcentral's name for it is "partial 23S ribosomal RNA". The record is from RNAcentral. Lineage: Bacteria; Pseudomonadati; Pseudomonadota; Gammaproteobacteria; Enterobacterales; Morganellaceae.
AUUGUUGGGUAGGGGAGCGUUCUGUAAGCCUGUGAAGGUGUGCUGUGAGGCAUGCUGGAGGUAUCAGAAGUGCGAAUGCUGACAUAAGUAACGAUAAUGCGGGUGAAAAACCCGCACGCCGGAAGACCAAGGGUUCCUGUCCAACGUUAAUCGGGGCAGGGUGAGUCGACCCCUAAGGCGAGGCAGAAAUGCGUAGUCGAUGGGAAACGGGUUAAUAUUCCCGUACUGGUGAUAAUUGCGAUGGGGGGACGGAGAAGGCUAGGCUAUCCGGGCGACGGUUGUCCCGGUUUAAGGAUGUAGGCAGGUGAAUUAGGCAAAUCCGGUUCACUAUAUGCUGAGGUCCGAYGACGAGUCACUACGGUGAUGAAGUAGCUCAUGCCCCGCUUCCAGGAAAAGCCUCUAAGCUCUAGAUUAUCAUUAAUCGUACCCCAAACCGACACAGGUGGUCAGGUAGAGAAUACUCAGGCGCUUGAGAGAACUCGGGUGAAGGAACUAGGCAAAAUGGUGCCGUAACUUCGGGAGAAGGCACGCUGGCAUUAGGUGAAGUGAUUUACUCAUGGAGCUGAAGCCAGUCGCAGAUACCAGCUGGCUGCAACUGUUUAUUAAAAACACAGCACUGUGCAAACACGAAAGUGGACGUAUACGGUGUGACGCCUGCCCGGUGCUGGAAGGUUAAUUGAUGGGGUUAUCCGUAAGGAGAAGCUCUUGAUCGAAGCCCCAGUAAACGGCGGCCGUAACUAUAACGGUCCUAAGGUAGCGAAAUUCCUUGUCGGGUAAGUUCCGACCUGCACGAAUGGCGUAAUGAUGGCCAGGCUGUCUCCACCCGAGACUCAGUGAAAUUGAACUCGCUGUGAAGAUGCAGUGUACCCGCGGCAAGACGGAAAGACCCCGUGAACCUUUACUAUAGCUUGACACUGAACAUUGAGCCUUGAUGUGUAGGAUAGGUGGGAGGCUUYGAAGYGUGGACGCCAGUCUGCGUGGAGCCAACCUUGAAAUACCACCCUUUAAUGUUUGAUGUUCUAACGUUGCCCCAUUAUCUGGGGUGCGGACAGUGUCUGGUGGGUAGUUUGACUGGGGCGGUCUCCUCCCAAAGAGUAACGGAGGAGCACGAAGGUUGGCUAAGCAUGGUCGGACAUCAUGCGGUUAGUGCAAAGGCAUAAGCCAGCUUGACUGCGAGAGUGACGGCUCGAGCAGGUACGAAAGUAGGUCUUAGUGAUCCGGUGGUUCUGAAUGGAAGGGCCAUCGCUCAACGGAUAAAAGGUACUCCGGGGAUAACAGGCUGAUACCGCCCAAGAGUUCAUAUCGACGGCGGUGUUUGGCACCUCGAUGUCGGCUCAUCACAUCCUGGGGCUGAAGUAGGUCCCAAGGGUACGGCUGUUCGCCGUUUAAAGUGGUACGCGAGCUGGGUUUAGAACGUCGUGAGACAGUUCGGUCCCUAUCUGCCGUGGGCGUUGGAAGAUUGAAAGGGGCUGCUCCUAGUACGAGAGGACCGGAGUGGACGCACCACUGGUGUUCGGGUUGUCAUGCCAAUGGCAUUGCCCGGUAGCUAAGUGCGGAAGAGAUAACCGCUGAAAGCAUCUAAGCGGGAAACUUGCCUUGAGAUGAGUCUUCCCUGACUCUUUAAGGGCUGCUCCUAGUACGAGAGGACCGGAGUGGACGCACCACUGGUGUUCGGGUUGUCAUGCCAAUGGCAUUGCCCGGUAGCUAAGUGCGGAAGAGAUAACCGCUGAAAGCAUCUAAGCGGGAAACUUGCCUUGAGAUGAGUCUUCCCUGACUCUUUAAGAGUCCUAAAGGAACGUUUAAGACUAAGACGUUGAUAGGUUGGGUGUGUAAGCGUAGCGAUACGUUGAGCUAACCAAUACUAAUGAACCGUGAGGCUUAACCUG